Molecule: ribosomal RNA, 255 nt
Filed under: uncultured bacterium
Lineage: Bacteria
Description: partial 16S ribosomal RNA
Rfam family: Bacterial small subunit ribosomal RNA
Source: RNAcentral
GUCCACGCCGUAAACGAUGGAUACUAGCUGUUGGGAGCGAUCUCGGUGGCUAAGCGAAAGUGAUAAGUAUCCCACCUGGGGAGUACGUUCGCAAGAAUGAAACUCAAAGGAAUUGACGGGGGCCCGCACAAGCGGUGGAGCAUGUGGUUUAAUUCGAUGAUACGCGAGGAACCUUACCAAGGCUUAAAUGUAGAUUGACCGUUUUGGAAACAGAACUUUCGCAAGACAAUUUACAAGGUGCUGCAUGGUUGUCGU